UGCAAGUCGAACGGUGAUAUCGGAGCUUGCUCUGGUUGAUCAGUGGCGAACGGGUGAGUAACACGUGAGUAACCUGCCCUUGACUCUGGGAUAAGCGUUGGAAACGACGUCUAAUACCGGAUAUGAGAUGCGACCGCAUGGUCUGUGUCUGGAAAGUUUUUCGGUCAAGGAUGGACUCGCGGCCUAUCAGCUUGUUGGUGAGGUAAUGGCUCACCAAGGCGUCGACGGGUAGCCGGCCUGAGAGGGCGACCGGCCACACUGGGACUGAGACACGGCCCAGACUCCUACGGGAGGCAGCAGUGGGGAAUAUUGCACAAUGGGCGAAAGCCUGAUGCAGCGACGCCGCGUGAGGGAUGAAGGCCUUCGGGUUGUAAACCUCUUUCAGUAGGGAAGAAGCGAAAGUGACGGUACCUGCAGAAGAAGCACCGGCUAACUACGUGCCAGCAGCCGCGGUAAUACGUAGGGUGCAAGCGUUGUCCGGAAUUAUUGGGCGUAAAGAGCUCGUAGGCGGUUUGUCGCGUCUGGUGUGAAAACUCAAGGCUCAACCUUGAGCUUGCAUCGGGUACGGGCAGACUAGAGUGUGGUAGGGGUGACUGGAAUUCCUGGUGUAGCGGUGGAAUGCGCAGAUAUCAGGAGGAACACCGAUGGCGAAGGCAGGUCACUGGGCCACUACUGACGCUGAGGAGCGAAAGCAUGGGGAGCGAACAGGAUUAGAUACCCUGGUAGUCCAUGCCGUAAACGUUGGGCACUAGGUGUGGGGCUCAUUCCACGAGUUCCGCGCCGCACCUAACGCAUUAAGUGCCCCGCCUGGGGAGUACGGCCGCAAGGCUAAAACUCAAAGGAAUUGACGGGGGCCCGCACAAGCGGCGGAGCAUGCGGAUUAAUUCGAUGCAACGCGAAGAACCUUACCAAGGCUUGACAUACACCGGAAUCAUGCAGAGAUGUGUGCGUCUUC
Molecule: ribosomal RNA, 955 nt
Filed under: Sanguibacter gelidistatuariae
Lineage: Bacteria; Bacillati; Actinomycetota; Actinomycetes; Micrococcales; Sanguibacteraceae
Description: bacterial SSU rRNA
Rfam family: Bacterial small subunit ribosomal RNA
Source: RNAcentral